RNAcentral lists this ribosomal RNA (442 nucleotides) under uncultured bacterium. RNAcentral's name for it is "partial 16S ribosomal RNA". It matches the Rfam family "Bacterial small subunit ribosomal RNA", at positions 338 to 795 of the family's 1533-position model. The record is from RNAcentral.
CCUACGUGCGGCAGCAGUGGGGCAUAUUGGGCAAUGGGCGCAAGCCUGACCCCGCAACGCCUCGUGACGGAAGCAGGCUUUCGUGUUGUAAACUUCUUUUAAGAGGGAAGAUCAGAAGACGAUACCUCUUGAAUACGCCACGGCUAACUACGUCCCAGCAGCCGCUUUAAUACGGAGGUGGCAAGCGUUGUCCGGGUUUACUGGGUUUAAAGGGCGUGCAGCCGGGAAGACAAGUCAGAUGUGAAAUCCCGCGGCUCAACCGCGGAACUGCAUUUGAAACUGUUUUUCUUGAGUACCGGAGAGGUCAUCGGAAGUCCUUGUGUAGCGGUGAAAUGCGUAGAGAUAAGGAAGAAUACCAGUGGCGAAGGCGGAUGACUGGACGGCAACUGACGGUGAGGCGCGAAAGAGUGGGGAGCAAACAGGAUUAGAUACCCGAGUAGUC